This 253-nucleotide ribosomal RNA is filed under the name uncultured bacterium. RNAcentral describes it as "partial small subunit ribosomal RNA". It matches the Rfam family "Bacterial small subunit ribosomal RNA", at positions 26 to 285 of the family's 1533-position model. The record is from RNAcentral.
AGGACGAACGCUGGCGGCGUGCUUAACACAUGCAAGUCGAGCGGAAAGGCCCUUCGGGGUACUCGAGCGGCGAACGGGUGAGUAACACGUGAGUAACCUGCCCCUAGCUCUGGGAUAGCUCCGGGAAACCGGGAUUAAUACCAGAUACGACCACUUUAGACAUCUGUCGUGGUGGAAAGGAUUCCGGCUAGGGAUGGGCUCGCGGCCUAUCAGCUUGUUGGUGGGUAACGGCCUACCAAGGCGACGACGGGUA